UCUGGGUCCAACCUCCCACCCGUGUUUAUUUUACCUUGUUGCUUCGGCGGGCCCGCCUUAACUGGCCGCCGGGGGGCUUACGCCCCCGGGCCCGCGCCCGCCGAAGACACCCUCGAACUCUGUCUGAAGAUUGUAGUCUGAGUGAAAAUAUAAAUUAUUUAAAACUUUCAACAACGGAUCUCUUGGUUCCGGCAUCGAUGAAGAACGCAGCGAAAUGCGAUACGUAAUGUGAAUUGCAAAUUCAGUGAAUCAUCGAGUCUUUGAACGCACAUUGCGCCCCCUGGUAUUCCGGGGGGCAUGCCUGUCCGAGCGUCAUUUCUGCCCUCAAGCACGGCUUGUGUGUUGGGCCCCGUCCUCCGAUCCCGGGGGACGGGCCCGAAAGGCAGCGGCGGCACCGCGUCCGGUCCUCGAGCGUAUGGGGCUUUGUCACCCGCUCUGUAGGCCCGGCCGGCGCUUGCCGAUCAACCCAAAUUUUUAUCCAGGUUGACCUCGGAUCAGGUAGGGAUACCCGCUGAACUUAAGCAUAUCAAUAAGCGGAGAA
This 541-nucleotide ribosomal RNA is filed under the name Penicillium chrysogenum. RNAcentral's name for it is "eukaryotic LSU rRNA". The stretch from base 163 to 315 matches the Rfam family "5.8S ribosomal RNA". The record is from RNAcentral. Lineage: Eukaryota; Fungi; Ascomycota; Eurotiomycetes; Eurotiales; Aspergillaceae.